RNAcentral lists this long non-coding RNA (207 nucleotides) under Lathyrus oleraceus (garden pea). RNAcentral describes it as "Pisum sativum (pea) long non-coding RNA (PSAT_LNC021738)". The record is from RNAcentral. Lineage: Eukaryota; Viridiplantae; Streptophyta; Magnoliopsida; Fabales; Fabaceae.
UACAACAUACAAUCAACCUGCUCAGUUAUAAAUACAUGUAACACUUUGCAUUUAAAAAAUUAGUAGUAAUAACCACAUGUCUGAAUAUUAACUUUUAUUAAAUUGUAUCGGAACAACAAUAAUAAACAGUUAACUCAACAUAACCAACAUCAACAUAACAUGUCAUAUAAGAAAUAUUAAAACAUAAACAAAGACACGUCGUUCCUA